AAUGGGCGCAAGCCUGAUCCAGCCAUGCCGCGUGAGUGAUGAAGGCCCUAGGGUCGUAAAGCUCUUUCGCCUGUGAAGAUAAUGACGGUAGCAGGUAAAGAAACCCCGGCUAACUCCGUGCCAGCAGCCGCGGUAAUACGGAGGGGGUUAGCGUUGUUCGGAAUUACUGGGCGUAAAGCGCGCGUAGGCGGAUUAGUAAGUCAGAGGUGAAAUCCCGGGGCUCAACCCCGGAACUGCCUUUGAUACUGCUAGUCUUGAGUUCGAGAGAGGUAAGUGGAAUUCCGAGUGUAGAGGUGAAAUUCGUAGAUAUUCGGAGGAACACCAGUGGCGAAGGCGGCUUACUGGCUCGAUACUGGCGCUGAGGUGCGAAAGUGUGGGGAGCAAACAGGAUU
This 392-nucleotide ribosomal RNA is filed under the name uncultured Gammaproteobacteria bacterium. RNAcentral's name for it is "bacterial SSU rRNA". It matches the Rfam family "Bacterial small subunit ribosomal RNA", at positions 370 to 779 of the family's 1533-position model. Lineage: Bacteria; Pseudomonadati; Pseudomonadota; Gammaproteobacteria. The record is from RNAcentral.